Molecule: ribosomal RNA, 468 nt
Filed under: uncultured bacterium
Lineage: Bacteria
Description: partial 16S ribosomal RNA
Rfam family: Bacterial small subunit ribosomal RNA
Source: RNAcentral
GACGAACGCUGGCGGCGUGCUUAACACAUGCAAGUCGAACGGAAAGGCCCUGCUUUUGUGGGGUGCUCGAGUGGCGAACGGGUGUGUAACACGUGAGUAACCUGCCCUUGACUUUGGGAAAACUUCAGGAAACUGGGUCUAAUCCCGGAUAGGCGCUCCUGCUGCAUGGUGGGGGUUGGAAAGUUUCGGCGGUUGGGGAUGGACGCGCGGCUUAUCAGCUUGUUGGUGGGGUAGUUGCUUACCAAGGCUUUGACGGGUAGCCGGCCUGAGAGGGUGCGCGGCCACAUUGGGACUGAGAUACGGCCCAGACUCAUACGGGAGACAGCAGUGGGAAAUAUUGCACAAUGGGCGGAAGCCUGAUGCAGAAACGCCGCGUGCGGGAUAACGGCCUUCGGGUUGUAAACCGCUUUCGACUGUGACGAAGCGUGAGUGACGGUAAUGGGUAAAGAAGCACCGGCUAACUACGUG